Molecule: ribosomal RNA, 433 nt
Filed under: uncultured bacterium
Lineage: Bacteria
Description: partial 16S ribosomal RNA
Rfam family: Bacterial small subunit ribosomal RNA
Source: RNAcentral
AACGAACGCUGGCGGCAUGCCUAACACAUGCAAGUCGAACGAGACCUUCGGGUCUAGUGGCGCACGGGUGCGUAACGCGUGGGAAUCUGCCCUUCGAUUGGGAAUAACUGAGAGAAAUUUCAGCUAAUACCUUAUAAUGUCUUCGGACCAAAGAUUUAUCGCCGAGGGAUGAGCCCGCGUAGGAUUAGGUAGUUGGUGGGGUAAUGGCCUACCAAGCCGACGAUCCUUAGCUGGUCUGAGAGGAUGAUCAGCCACACUGGGACUGAGACACGGCCCAGACUCCUACGGGAGGCAGCAGUGGGGAAUAUUGGACAAUGGGCGAAAGCCUGAUCCAGCAAUGCCGCGUGAGUGAUGAAGGCCUUAGGGUUGUAAAGCUCUUUUACCCGGGAUGAUAACGACAGUACCGGGAGAAUAAGCUCCGGCUAACUCCGUG